This is a long non-coding RNA of Chinchilla lanigera (long-tailed chinchilla), 3106 nucleotides long. RefSeq lists it as uncharacterized. The transcript has 4 exons. The record is from RefSeq and is a predicted model, not a curated record. NCBI's taxonomy places the organism in Eukaryota, Metazoa, Chordata, Mammalia, Rodentia, Chinchillidae.
CUGGCCUCAAAAUCCUGGACUCAAAUGCUCCUCCUGCCUCAGCCUCCUGAGUGGCUGAGACUACAGGCUUGUGCUACCGUGCCUGAUUUUGCUCAGGUCUUGUGGGACUGGAGGUGGGGUGAAGGUUGAAUGUCAUCAGCUCCUCCCUGCCUCUGGUGCACCUGCUAGGAACUGCCCAGGAGACCAGCCCAGGACUCCAGCCUGCGGUGCAGGAGGUGAUCGCCACGUAUGCACGAAGACACGUCUGCUGGUGUUUUCGCUCAGGAGCUGUACGUGGGGCUCCCUAGAAGAGGCUGAUCUUUUACAAUGUUUGUUGGAUUUUGAUGUCAGUCUUGUGCUCACCUCAUCGAAGAAUUCUGGAAGGCUUUGGAAUGAUCCCCCCUUUGAAGAAUUAUGCAAAAGCGCGGCCCCGUGAUUAGGGACCAAGCCUUUGGGUGCAGACAAGAGUCAAGUAGAAGAGCCCUGAGCAGCCCUGUGCCUUCGCGUGGGGCGAGUGCACUCUGCGUCCCCGCCCUCAUUUCCCAGGGAGGGAAGCAGGGGCGGCCGCCAGCAGGAGCCCGGCCGGCCGCAGCGAUGGCAUCACCACGAUGCCCACCCUGAGGGCCCUCAUGGAACGUUUCCCAGCACAGCACCAGCGGUGCGGAGGGAAGGCCAUUGUCCCUGAAGCACGCUCUGUCCCCUGGCUCUGUCUGGGGCAGAGGGGAGCAUGCUUCCUGCUGUGGGCGCCCUCUCCUGUGUGCCCCAGGGAGGGGCGCUGGGGACUCCAGUUCCAAGCAGCACGCAGUGGGCCUGCUGCAAGCUGGGCGCUGGCCCCAGGGCUCCAUCACUGUGGAGGCUGCACCAUCCCCGGGCCACGCACAGGGUACGCGGCUCCCGUGAACCUGGAGGACUGAGGAUUCCGCCUGUGAUCACUAUGCGGGGCAGCCUGUGGGGCGGGGCUGAUUGCUGGCCGCCCAGGGUGCCACUUCCUGGGGCCCAGGCAGCAGGAGGACACGACCAGCCUGGGAUGACCAGGCCUUGGCUCACUCAGGCACUUUUCGGUCUCGCACGGGGACAGCGUCCCCUGAGCACUGCGAGGUGGACUCUGCCUGUGUGGGUGACCAAGGGUCUCUGUCCUCAGGGACCCACAGUUGGCUUGGAAGACGCGAGCAGUAAAAGGAGAAGAAAGAGCGGGAGGAGGCAUCGACUGAUCUUGAGCCAUGAUUCAUCUUCAUGAGCACCAAGCAAAGAGCCAAAGACAGAGUCAUCCUUGAAGGGCGAAGUUUAUGCUGCACGUCAGCUUUAUGGGGACAUAAACCGUGCACGGCAAAAGCCAGGGCAGCCCUUCCUGGUCUCUAAGAGCCGGUGGGGGCCUGGAGAUCAGUGCUGGAACCCGAGCUGAGAAGCGUCUCCAGACUUCAGUGCCGCCCUUGCGUCCUCCUGGGUGUGCUUUCCCAGCAGCCCCUUCAUCGAAGGCUCACAAGUCCCACCCGUGCGCACCGUGCCACUGCGCUGAUCGGACCCCGUUCCUGUGAGAGCGUUUGUCUGACAUUACCCUUCGAAUAAAAGAAACCGCGCGCGUGGGCCUGGGUUCUUCUGCUUGAGCUUGUUUGUGAGAUUCGUCCAGAUUGUCUCGGGCAGAAAUCCAUUUCCCUUUCCUUGCUGUCCAUUGUUUGCACGCAUAAUUGCCUAAAGGGCUUUCUCCGCUCCUGUGAGGGAUGUCGGGCACAGCGCAGGGCUCCUCACCCAGGUGCGUCUUGGUAGCCUGCGCGGGUCUCUCGGGAGACUCGGUUCCAGCUUCAGAAGGUGCUGCCCAGCGGCGUCCUAGGCCGACAGUGUCCACUGGCACUGGCCCCACCCAGCACCGGUCCUGGUAAGCCAGGCCCGCCGCUGUGGUCAAGCCCCUUUUCUUACGUUACUCACUAUUUUGUGAAUGCUUUUGCAAGUCUUUCCCCACUGUGAGAACAAGCUGUCUAGUGUUUUCUCAUUGAUUUGUAGAAGUUAUUGUUUGUUUACCAUGUGGUGGUUUAUAGGACUUGGACUGAUCAUAAGCCAUGAUUCAUUUUUGUGUGAAUCAAGCAAAGAACCAAAGACAGAGUCAUCUUUGGAGGACAAAAUUUGCUCUGCAUGUCAGCUUUACGGAGGGCGUAAUAGUCCCUUUGUUUUGAGGCGUUGUCUUUUAUGUCUCCCAGGCUGGUUUCAAAUGCCUGGGCUCCGGCCGCCCUCCUGCCUCAGCCUCUUGAGUUGUGGGACUGCAGAUGUGAGCCACCACGACUGGCCAUAGAAAUUCUUUGUGUUCUGGAUACGAGGUUUUCAUUUGAUACGUGCUGCACUGUUCAGGGUUGUUGAGGGAGACAGUACUGAUUGCAGACAUAAUAUGAUCUGGCCGCCCCUCAGUCCCCUCUCCUCAUGGGUGCCCGACCCCCUGAUGCUCAUGUUCCUGAUCUGAAAAGGUGCUGGAUUUUUUGCAUAGAACCCGUGCACUCCUCCCUGUAUUGCACCUCACCUUCAGAUGAGCGCCUGAUACGCUGUAAAUGCCGCGCGAGUGGGUGUUAACGCUGGAUUGUUAAAGGACUACGACAAGAAAACCUUCUGUGUGCGGUCAGCAUAAGUGAGAUUUUGGGGGGAUGAUUCUAUCUACGGGUGGUUGAGUGGACCUGGAUCCCAAGACCCAGAGGCCCCUGUGUGUGUGGAUCGCCUCUCUGCACCCGGAAAACCAGCCUGCAGCUCACAGAGAGUGGGUGUGAGCUGUGGGCUGGGCCCCAGGGUCCCGGAGACCAGGGCAGCCAUGGUGGGGUUCAGGCUGGAGCCCAAGGCCUGUGACCAGGAGCGAAUGGGGGAUCCUGGCUGCAGGGCAGAAGGUCCACACUCCCACUCCAGCAGGCAGCAAGCAGAGGACAGAAUCGCUCCUGCCCAGUCUUCUUGAUCUGUGCAGGACUCGGGAGAGGAUGGCACCACCCAGAACUGGGUUCCAUCUGCGAUGGGUGGCUGGGGCUCAGGGUGGGGCCUGUGCUGGGGUCCCUGGGGGUGGCAGCGGUGGUCCUGUCUGCACUGCUGCAGGGGGGCAGUGUCCCCUUUGGGGGCGGAGGCGGGGAGGGGCUUUCUGCUGGGGCUGCUGGGUCUGCCU